AACGCGAAGAACCUUACCAGCUUUUGACAUGUCCUGGACGGAUUGCAGAGAUGCGAUCUUCCCUUCGGGGCCGGGAACACAGGUGCUGCAUGGCUGUCGUCAGCUCGUGUCGUGAGAUGUUGGGUUAAGUCCCGCAACGAGCGCAACCCUCGCCCUUAGUUGCCAUCAUUCAGUUGGGCACUCCAGGGGGACUGCCGGUGAUAAGCCGGAGGAAGGUGGGGAUGACGUCAAGUCCUCAUGGCCCUUACAGGCUGGGCUACACACGUGCUACAAUGGCGGUGACAGCGGGAGGCGAAGGGGCGACCCUUAGCAAAUCUCGAAAAGCCGUCUCAGUUCGGAUUGCACUCUGCAACUCGAGUGCAUGAAGUUGGAAUCGCUAGUAAUCGCGGAUCAGCACGCCGCGGUGAAUACGUUCCCGGGCCUUGUACACACCGGUACUA
RNAcentral lists this ribosomal RNA (440 nucleotides) under uncultured bacterium. Its description in RNAcentral is "bacterial SSU rRNA". It matches the Rfam family "Bacterial small subunit ribosomal RNA", at positions 958 to 1398 of the family's 1533-position model. The record is from RNAcentral.